GAUGAACGCUGGCGGCGUGCCUAAUACAUGCAAGUCGAGCGAACGGACGAGAAGCUCGCUCUUCUGCUGUUAGCGGCGGACGGGCGAGUAACACGUGGAUAACCUACUUAUAUGACUGGGAUAACUUCGGGAAACCGGAGCUAAUACCGGAUAAUAUUUUGAACGGCAUGGUUCAAAAGUGAAAGACGGUUUUCCUGUCACUUAUAGAUGGAUCCGCGCUGCAUUAGCUAGUUGGUAAGGUAACGGCCUACCAAGGCAACGAUGCAUAGCCGACCUGAGAGGGUGAUCGGCCACACUGGAACUGAGACACGGUCCAGACUCCUACGGGAGGCAGCAGUAGGGAAUCUUCCACAAUGGGCGAAAGCCUGACGGAGCAACGCCGCGUGAGUGAUGAAGGUCUUCGGAUCGUAAAGCUCUGUUAUUAGGGAAGAACAUAUGUGUAAGUAACUGUGCACGUCUUGACGGUACCUAAUCAGAAAGCCACGGCUAACUACGUG
RNAcentral lists this ribosomal RNA (497 nucleotides) under uncultured bacterium. RNAcentral's name for it is "partial 16S ribosomal RNA". It matches the Rfam family "Bacterial small subunit ribosomal RNA", at positions 28 to 507 of the family's 1533-position model. The record is from RNAcentral.